RNAcentral lists this ribosomal RNA (279 nucleotides) under uncultured bacterium. RNAcentral's name for it is "partial 16S ribosomal RNA". It matches the Rfam family "Bacterial small subunit ribosomal RNA", at positions 506 to 784 of the family's 1533-position model. The record is from RNAcentral.
UGCCAGCCGCCGCGGUAAUACGAAGGGGGCUAGCGUUGUUCGGAAUCACUGGGCGUAAAGCGUGCGUAGGUGGAUAAGCAAGUUAGAUGUGAAAUCCCGAGGCUCAACCUCGGAACUGCAUUUAAAACUGCCUAUCUAGAGUCCGGUAGGGGGCAGUGGAAUUCCAUGUGUAGCGGUGAAAUGCGUAGAUAUAUGGAGGAACACCAGUGGCGAAGGCGACUGCCUGGGCCGGUACUGACACUAAGGCACGAAAGCGUGGGGAGCAAACAGGAUUAGAUA